GUGCAGCAGUCGCGAAACUUUACAAUGUGCGAAAGCACGAUAAGGGAACUCUGAGUGCCUCCUAAGGAGGCUGUUCAGGUGUCUAAAAGCACCUGGAGUAAGGGCUGGGUAAGACCGGUGCCAGCCGCCGCGGUAACACCGGCAGCCCAGGUGGUAGCCACUUUUAUUGGGUCUAAAGCGUCCGUAGCCGGUUGAGUAAGUUCCUUGGGAAAUUUGGCUGCUCAACAGUCAAGCUUCCAGGGAAUACUGCUCGACUUGGGGACUGGGAGAGGUCAGAGGUACUCCAGGGGUAGGGUGAAAUCCAUUAAUCCCUGGGGGACCACCGGUAGCGAAGGCGUCUGACCAGACCAGGUCCGACGGUGAGGGACGAAGGCUAGGGGCGCGAACCGGAUUAGAUACCCCUGUAGU
This 408-nucleotide ribosomal RNA is filed under the name uncultured microorganism. Its description in RNAcentral is "bacterial SSU rRNA". It matches the Rfam family "Archaeal small subunit ribosomal RNA", at positions 330 to 745 of the family's 1478-position model. The record is from RNAcentral.